GUACAGUAAAGCAGAGUUAGGGUAUGAAAAUGAUACAGAGAUGGCACCUGAGUAUAUUGGACCUCCAAAGAAUGGUGGAGGUAGCACCAGCAGUUCGGCGUCAGGAAGCAAAGGAGACGCAGAGAAGCCAUAUCUCGAAGAACCAAACUGCACGAGACAGGCGGUUGAAUAUCCCAGAGAAAGCAAGCUACUAGACUUUGGGCACUCAUGUCCGGGGAAGAAACUUGACCUGAACACCCACAAUGUCGACGACACUGAUCAAGCUUACAGACAUUUUGAUUUGAAUGGCUUCAGCUGGAGCUGAUAAUAUGUAAGAUGAUCAAAGUGAAGAAA
This 333-nucleotide long non-coding RNA is filed under the name Setaria italica (foxtail millet). RNAcentral describes it as "long non-coding RNA (SITA_LNC002056)". The record is from RNAcentral. Lineage: Eukaryota; Viridiplantae; Streptophyta; Magnoliopsida; Poales; Poaceae.